GUCCAUAGCGGACUGAGAGCCCCGGCCAAGGUACUGGUUCCAGGGGCGGAGGGCCGCAGUCGCCGCCCCUGGCACCUCCUUCUCGGACGUCUCGACCCCCCUCCGUCUGCCCACAGAUCUCCAGGCGGCUCUCCCUGCCCGCCACGGCGCCCCCCGCCGUCUCCCCGCCCGCCGCUCCGCUCCGUCCCCGUCACGGCGACCAAGCCGGUUGCUCUCUAUGCAGCUCCUCCUGUGCAGAAGGACGUCGACGUCGUCCUCCCGCCGGUGUCGGAGAAGACCGUCGUGUUGCCGCACGGCAGCAGCGAGGCCGCCUGAGACAAAGAACACGAGGCGUCGCAUGCUCGGAAGGAUGCUGUCACGCUAGGGGUGUGUGUGGGGUGGAAUAUUUGGAAAGAAAGAACAGAAUCGCAGGAUCUUCCAGGGCAAGGAGGCGACGGUUUUGGCAGUGAAGCACCUGAUUGAUGGAGUUCCUCGUCGCCGCUGAAAAUUCUUAGUUUUGGUUGAUGUACAGCCGAUCUGAUCCCUUGAGAAUCAGAUCUUCUUUUUCUUUUUCUUGGCUGUUGCUGUAUGGUGAGCAAGGCCAGCACCGGCGCCGCCGCCUCCUCUGGCUCCGAUCCCGGGCACUAACGGGUCGGGUAAGGGUUGCAGCGGGCGUCUCGCCUGACAUGUGGACCCCACGA
This 680-nucleotide long non-coding RNA is filed under the name Brachypodium distachyon (stiff brome). Its description in RNAcentral is "long non-coding RNA (BDIS_LNC003047)". Lineage: Eukaryota; Viridiplantae; Streptophyta; Magnoliopsida; Poales; Poaceae. The record is from RNAcentral.